RNAcentral lists this ribosomal RNA (247 nucleotides) under uncultured archaeon. Its description in RNAcentral is "partial 16S ribosomal RNA". It matches the Rfam family "Archaeal small subunit ribosomal RNA", at positions 691 to 937 of the family's 1478-position model. The record is from RNAcentral.
CCGACGGUGAGAGGCGAAAGCUGGGGGCACGAACCGGAUUAGAUACCCGGGUAGUCCCAGCCGUAAACGAUGCUCGCUAGGUGUCUGGGAUGGCGCGACCGUUUCAGGUGCCGCAGGGAAGCCGUGAAGCGAGCCACCUGGGAAGUACGGCCGCAAGGCUGAAACUUAAAGGAAUUGGCGGGGGAGCACUACAACGGGUGGAGCCUGCGGUUUAAUUGGACUCAACGCCGGAAAACUCACCUGGGGC